Micropterus salmoides (largemouth bass) is the source of this 744-nucleotide long non-coding RNA. RefSeq lists it as uncharacterized. The transcript has 3 exons. Lineage: Eukaryota; Metazoa; Chordata; Actinopteri; Centrarchiformes; Centrarchidae. The record is from RefSeq and is a predicted model, not a curated record.
CUUUCCUAGCAGGAUGAAGGCAUCUUUUUCGUUAGCUAACGUUAGCUGUCAAACAUAACGUUAGACAUGCUUCUGCUGGUCACGACAACUUGCCUUUACCAUUUGGAUUCUCAAAGCAGUUGGGAAAAAAUUGCCACCUUGGACGUCCAGAGCCUGAAGAGCCACAUUCCACGCUUGCCGAGACAUUUCCACAGCAGUGAAAAUAUUCCCACUGACCACUGACACCAAGAUCUUCAAGCACCUUCUUCAGCACAGCCACCUGUGAGCGAACAGAGCCACAUCCAUUGAGGAGCUUCUUGUAAUUCUGCUUCACACCACAGAGAGCGAUGUAGCGUUUCAGCCUCACGACUGCUUUGUUGUCAUCCUGUAGGAUGAACCCGAGGACGGAGACGGUGUGAAGAGAAGCUGCAACGUCUAUUCUUCAUCUCUACUCUACAGUUACCCAAUUUACACAUAUGUUUUGGUGAUCCAUUUUCAAAAGGUCAUCUUUGCUUUUCUGCCAUUCAUCUUGCACUUCAACUCUCGACUCCUCUCAAAGCACUGAGGGCAAUGAAAGGGACUUAGAUGCACCUUUACUCAAUAUGAAGAGUCAGGAAUCAGGAUAAAGGGCUGGACACUUACAGACAAUAUUUCAGCCACUCCUUUUUAAUGUAUAAAAAGUUGUAAAUUAAAUGAUUAACUUCUUGCUUUUAUUUAAUACUUCCUGCCGUUUGCUGCAGAAGAUAAAAAUGUUACAAAGCUCGA